RNAcentral lists this ribosomal RNA (774 nucleotides) under uncultured fungus. Its description in RNAcentral is "eukaryotic LSU rRNA". It matches the Rfam family "Eukaryotic large subunit ribosomal RNA", at positions 30 to 821 of the family's 3401-position model. Lineage: Eukaryota; Fungi. The record is from RNAcentral.
GAACUUAAGCAUAUCAAUAAGCGGAGGAAAAGAAACCAACAGGGAUUGCCUCAGUAACGGCGAGUGAAGCGGCAACAGCUCAAAUUUGAAAUCUGGCUCUUUCAGGGUCCGAGUUGUAAUUUGUAGAAGAUGCUUCGGGUGUGGCUCCGGUCUAAGUUCCUUGGAACAGGACGUCAUAGAGGGUGAGAAUCCCGUAUGUGACCGGUUGCUUUCGCCCAUGUGAAGCUCUUUCGACGAGUCGAGUUGUUUGGGAAUGCAGCUCAAAAUGGGUGGUAAAUUUCAUCUAAAGCUAAAUAUUGGCCAGAGACCGAUAGCGCACAAGUAGAGUGAUCGAAAGAUGAAGAGCACUUUGGAAAGAGAGUUAAACAGUACGUGAAAUUGUUGAAAGGGAAGCGCUUGCAACCAGACUUGCACGCUGCCGAUCAUCUGGGGUUCUCUCCAGUGCACUCGGUUGCGUUCAGGCCAGCAUCGGUUUGGGUGGUUGGAUAAAGGCUUAGGGAAUGUAGCUUCUUUCGGGGAGUGUUAUAGCCCUAGGUGCAAUGCAGCCUACCCGGACCGAGGACCGCGCUUCGGCUAGGAUGCUGGCGUAAUGGUUGUAAGCGACCCGUCUUGAAACACGGACCAAGGAGUCUAACAUCUAUGCGAGUGUUUGGGUGUCAAACCCAUACGCGUAAUGAAAGUGAACGGAGGUGAGAACCCUUAAGGGUGCAUCAUCGACCGAUCCUGAUGUCUUCGGAUGGAUUUGAGUAAGAGCAUAGCUGUUGGGACCCGAAA